CGGUUUACAGGGUUAGUUCCCCAUAAUUCACUGCCAAACAAACACAUAUACAGCUUACAGAAGGGAUACAUCUAUAGAAAUAAAUCAGAAAAUCUCACUUUAACAUAUAUGUUAUGUCAAUAUUUUAUAAUCUACUUUAUUGGCCUCAUGAUUAAUACAUAUAAACUAGUUUGUGUACAUCCCCCUUCUCUAAUCUGGCAUUACCAUCUCCCUCUGCUUAGAUUUCAAUAGAGAUCUUAAUUUAGCUAGAGAGAUUAGUCAGUCACGUUAAUGAUACAUUGUUCUGGGUUUGCUCUCCUCUGGAUUCCUCAGAUUGCGGCACCAGAAAAAUAUUAUUCCAUAUUCAAUGCUCCUGAGUCUGCUCUUCCCUGGGUUCCUCGGAUUGUGACAGUUAUUCCAUUU
Pelobates cultripes (western spadefoot toad) is the source of this 402-nucleotide non-coding RNA. NCBI's taxonomy places the organism in Eukaryota, Metazoa, Chordata, Amphibia, Anura, Pelobatidae. The record is from the annotation of a GenBank genome assembly.